This 492-nucleotide ribosomal RNA is filed under the name uncultured bacterium. RNAcentral's name for it is "partial 16S ribosomal RNA". It matches the Rfam family "Bacterial small subunit ribosomal RNA", at positions 29 to 507 of the family's 1533-position model. The record is from RNAcentral.
AGUGAACGCUGGCGGUAGGCCUAACACAUGCAAGUCGAACGGCAGCACAGUAAGAGCUUGCUCUUACGGGUGGCGAGUGGCGGACGGGUGAGGAAUACAUCGGAAUCUACUUUUUCGUGGGGGAUGACGUAGGGAAACUUACGCUAAUACCGCAUACGACCUACGGGUGAAAGCAGGGGAUCUUCGGACCUUGCGCGAUUGAAUGAGCCGAUGUCGGAUUAGCUAGUUGGCGGGGUAAAGGCCCACCAAGGCGACGAUCCGUAGCUGGUCUGAGAGGAUGAUCAGCCACACUGGAACUGAGACACGGUCCAGACUCCUACGGGAGGCAGCAGUGGGGAAUAUUGGACAAAGGGCGCAAGCCUGAUCCAGCCAUACCGCGUGGGUGAAGAAGGCCUUCGGGUUGCAAAGCCCUUUUGUUGGGAAAGAAAGGCAGCAGGUUAAUACCCCGCUGUUCUGACGGUACCCAAAGAAUAAGCACCGGCUAACUUCGUG